CAGCAGCCGCGGUAAUACGGAGGGUGCAAGCGUUAAUCGGAAUUACUGGGCGUAAAGCGCACGCAGGCGGUCUGUCAAGUCAGAUGUGAAAUCCCCGGGCUUAACCUGGGAACUGCAUUUGAAACUGGCAGGCUAGAGUCUUGUAGAGGGGGGUAGAAUUCCAGGUGUAGCGGUGAAAUGCGUAGAGAUCUGGAGGAAUACCGGUGGCGAAGGCGGCCCCCUGGACAAAGACUGACGCUCAGGUGCGAAAGCGUGGGGAGCAAACAGGAUUAGAGACCCCUGUAGUCCCUGUCUCUUAUAC
RNAcentral lists this ribosomal RNA (301 nucleotides) under uncultured bacterium. RNAcentral describes it as "partial 16S ribosomal RNA". It matches the Rfam family "Bacterial small subunit ribosomal RNA", at positions 509 to 807 of the family's 1533-position model. The record is from RNAcentral.